GGUAGCAUAAUCAUUAGUCUCCUAAUUAGAGGCUUGUAUGAAUGGUCGGACAAGAUGGAAGCUGUCUCAAUAUAAUAAAUAUAAAUUGAUAUUUAAGUAAAAAAGCUUAAAUGAAAUGAAGGGACGAUAAGACCCUAUAAAGCUUUAUAACAUAAUCUUUUUGCGCAAAAUAUCUAAUGUAAAACAUUAAAAGAAUCAUGUUAUUUUACUGGGGCGGUAAAAGUAUAUUAAAAAUAACUGCUUUUGUUUUAUAAAACAAUAAUAAUUGGUACACAGAUUGAUCCAUUAAUAAUGAUCAUAAAAACAAGUUACUUUAGGGAUAACAGCGUAAUUUUUUUUGAGAGUCCUCAUCGAAAAAAAAGUUUGCGACCUCGAUGUUGAAUUAAGGAUACCUUAAAGUGCAGCAGUUUUAAAGGUAGAUCUGUUCGAUCUUUAAUUCUUUACAUGAUUUG
RNAcentral lists this ribosomal RNA (452 nucleotides) under Pullosquilla thomassini. Its description in RNAcentral is "partial 16S ribosomal RNA". It matches the Rfam family "Bacterial large subunit ribosomal RNA", at positions 1955 to 2607 of the family's 2925-position model. The record is from RNAcentral. Lineage: Eukaryota; Metazoa; Arthropoda; Malacostraca; Stomatopoda; Nannosquillidae.